UCCGCGAUAGCUCAGUGGUAGAGCAGUUGACUGUUAAUCAAUUGGUCGGGGGUUCGAAUCCCUCUCGCGGAGCCA
This 75-nucleotide transfer RNA is filed under the name Candidatus Moraniibacteriota bacterium. RNAcentral describes it as "tRNA-Asn". It matches the Rfam family "tRNA". Rfam says of the family: Transfer RNA (tRNA) molecules are approximately 80 nucleotides in length. Their secondary structure includes four short double-helical elements and three loops (D, anti-codon, and T loops). The record is from RNAcentral. Lineage: Bacteria; Candidatus Moraniibacteriota.